GCCCCCGCCCCCCGGCGCGGCACUUUCAGUUUUGCCUCCCCCAUCCGCCCCGGCCGUGGCGGGCACCCGAGAGGCCGGGCACCCGAGAGGCCGGGCCCUCGCGCGCCACCCGCGCCUCCACCCCGGGCUCUCACCGCUCCUGGCCGCCCCGCGCCCUGGGCUUAGCCGACCUGGCUUUGUCUGCUCCGUUAACUGGAGAUCGGGCCCCGCCGGGCUGCGGGGUCUCUCCAUCAGCGCGAGGGGUGCCGGUGGCGAGUCCUACCCUAGAGGCGCUGCCAGGAGCAGAGAAGGUGAGCAUGGGACCCGGACCGGCUGGACGUCCACCACGUGACUGGGGGACUGGGGCUCCUGAAGGGGGAGAUUCCCACUGGCAGAGAUGCUGGGCCCAUGAACGAGGCAUGUGGCAUACAGUGACACCUCAGAGGAAGGUUGGGGCCAGGCUCUCGAGAGCCUCGUGGGACCGGGUACCAAGUUUGGGUUUCCCUUUGAAAGCCAUGGGAACCAAAAGAGGGUUCCAAAGAAAUACGAGAUGACUUUUUAUUUAUUUAUUUGUCUUUUUGUCUCUCCUAGGGCCGCUUCUUGUGUCAUAUAGAGGUUGCCAGGCUAGGGGUUGAAUCGGAGCCACGUCUGCGACCCACACCACAGCUCACAACAACGCUGGAUCCUCAACCCACUGAGCAAGGCCAGGGAUCGAACCUGCAACCCCAUGGUUUCUAGUCGGAUUCGUUAACCACUGCGCCACGAUGGGAACUCUGAUAACUGACUUUUAUUUUCAGAAAAGUUGGAGCGUGACAGCAACUGAGGGGCUACUAUAAAUGCCCAGCCAGCUGCCCUAGGAACCAAGGAAUGAAGGAACCAAGAAGGAACCAGGGGACCAGGGGGUGAAGGGCCCAGGGGACAAAGGGACGAGAGGCCAACAGACCAGGGAAUCACGGGACCGAGAGACCAGGGGACAAAGGGACCAGGGGAUUGGGGAAGGCACAGGGAGUUGGUCGGGGACGAGGAGGGGGCUUAAGGGCUGAGGCUGCAGGUUGGACUUCUCCUGGGUUGCCUGUGAACUCCCUGAGUUAGGCUUGGCAUUGGCAGCGAGGUCGCAUUCACGCACGUCUGCUUGGCUCUGUCUAGUUGUGGCUUCGCUCUCAGGCGUACCUGCCGGGGACAGGAAGACACGCAGUUUAGGCAGCGCUUUAUCACGUAAGAAAGAAAGGUGAAUCGCAUCCCACCCAGUUUGUGCAGGAGCAGAGAAAGAGCAGGAUGGGGGGCGGGGAGAUGCUGUGUCCUGGCCCUGACCGAGGAUGACCUUGGCCUCGCCCCUUCCUCUCGGGGGGACUCUGUCGCCCUUCUGUGAAAUAAUAGCUCGGGGUGAAAAAGUCCUCAGGUUCCUUUAACAGGACAAGGUCUGGGUUCUCUUUUCACGAACUGAAAUCCCGGGUUUGGAAACUUGGGCUUCUUGUCACACGUGGAAGCGUUGUGGCGUUUUAGAAGGGUGGGGGCAGGGUGGCACUGCAGCCCCCUGGGGACUGGGAUCUUUUUGACUCUAAGUAAUGUGCAGGGCAGGGGGCCUUGGUGACCACACGCGCCCUGACCCUCACAAAAUCCCUGCCCUGGGGUGGCCUGGUCGUAAACUCUCCUGCAAAGGUCAUGUGAAUUUAUCGGCCCCGAUGCUUUAUAAUGAGAGAUUCCGGUCUCUCUUCCGCAUGGCACUUUUGAGCUUCAGCAGAUCUUAAGUGAACACUGUAGACAUGUUUUAGAAUGUUCUUCGGGAAACUUGAAAGGCUGGAGUCGCAAAAUGGGACCUCAAGCGUCCUGAACACUCGUCUAAAUAAACACACAGACUUGACCCCAGAUGUUUUAGAGAAUGAACUUGGAAUUAAACCUGUGUGUUACAAUUCUGAUUAUACCCUAAAUGUAAGAACUCAUCAAAGACGUCUUCCGGGGAAAGCCUUGAGGGUGUAUGGCAAAUUUCUCUUUUAUAGAGGUCAUCGGAGCAGCGGGGGGGCGGGCCGCAGGCCUUCCCCAGGGACCGGGGGAGAGAGCGAUUGGCUGUCCUUGUUUAAAGAAGAAAAUGUGUGUGCGUGUGUUUAUGUAGGGAUAAAGGCAAGAUGUGUCUUCUCAAGGCUACACAUUUUUGAAAAGAUUUUGAAUUAUUUUACCCGACGCCAUCUUCCUAUUUCACGUCUUGAUCUCCUUCUAGGGAAGAUGGAUGGGUAACCCCUGGGGGUCGCUGGGUUUCUCCUCCUCGUGGAUGAAAAUGAAGUGGUGGGGCAGGCGGCCUGCCGGCCCCAGGCGUCUCCCUCGAGUUCUGCCUCCCCAGCCUCCACGCUCCAUCCCCGCCCAGCUGACGUUUCCUCCUCCUCUUCCAAAAGGCCCUCACACCCAGCUCCAAAGAGAGGCUAUCUGAACUCUGGGCUAUAAAGGGAAACUAGCUUUUAAAAAAAAUUUUAAGUGAUGUUUUUGGUAUUUAAUCAAUUGCAGGGCAAGGAGGAGGAACUUUCAAACAACUGGGUGUUUUCUUUAGGGUCGAUUGAAGGAAAACGGUCCACUCAGUGAAGGAGGAGGAGGAGAGACAGUGAUGAAGGCGCCGGUUACGCGGAGUGAAAAACCCGAGAGGCGGAGAGGAGCGCUGGCACUCGCAGCUGGGGAGGCUGGACAGCGGGCCCAGCUCCCCCCAUCGCGUCUCCCCGGGAUCCUCAGCCAGCGGACUCGGAGGCUCCGUGGACCACAGCAGGGCGUGCAUCUCUGUGUGUGGGGCGGAGCUCUUUCUCCCUUUGCAAAGGUGUAACAGUAAACAUUGGUGUAACAGUAAACAUAGGUGUAACAGUAACCAUAGGCACAGUAAACCACACACCCCCUUUAAGUUUAAAAUGUGAUACCUCCUGACAAACGUGGGACCACCUCCUCCAUCAAAACAUGUCCAUCGCUCUGGAAAGUUCCCUUCUGCCCUUUGCGGUCACUCCCCUCCCCCGCCCCAGCCACGAGCACCCACAGAUCUAAUUUAUGUUCCUGUUUUGCGUUUUCCAGAAAGUCAUAAAAACGAAGCUGUACAGGACAUGGCCCUUUGUGUCUGGCUUUUUACACAUAGAAUAACACCUUUGAGACGGGCCCACGCUGUUGUAUGCCUCUGUGCUUUGUGCCUCUUUAUUGCCGAGUAUUCUGGUGUAUGCAGAGGCUGCAGUUUUGAUCCCUCCACCCUUGAUGGACUUGGUGAUUAUAAAUGAAGCUCCAUUUAAGUCAUUGUUUAGAUGUGUUUUCUUCUUUCAGGUAAAUACCUAGGACUGGGGUUGCUGAGUCCUGUAACGUGUACGCCGAAAAAGAAACAGCCAGACUGUUUUUCAAAGUGGCUGAGCCAUUUUGCAUUCCCAGCAGGAAUGCUUAAAGGUCAGCUGCAGGUGAGUAUAAUAAAAAACAUCGGAAAAUAACAAGUGUCGGCAAGGAUGUGGAGAAACUGGAAUUCUCACACGUUGCUAGUGGGCAUAGGGAACAUACAGUGGGCCGGCUACCCUGAAGGACGGUUUAGUGAUUCCUCAGUAAAUUAAAUACAGAGUGAUCGUGUGCCCCAGCAAUUCCACACUUGGACACAGACCUCAAAGAAUUGAAAGCAGAUGUUCAAUCAAGAGCUGUACACAGAUGUUCAUACCAGCAUUAUCCACAGUGGCCAAAAUGUGGAAACAGAAGAAUCCCCAUCGAUGGAUGAACAGAUCAACAAAAUACGGCAUAUCCAUACACUGGGAUAUUAGUCAGUCUUAAAAAGGAAUGAAUUUCUGAUACAUGCUGCCACACGGAUGGGCCUGGACAACAUUAUGCAAAAUGAAAAAAGCCAGAAGAAAAGGUCACACGUUGUGUGGCUGCAUUGACAGGCAACAUCCAGACUGAACAAAUCCAUAGCGGUGGGGAGAAGAUUAGUAGUUACAGGGGUGAGGAGGGGGUGUAUUGACCACGUUUUUUAUUUUCUGUGUUUUAUGAUGCUCUGACAUCUUGGGGUCUUGGACACCCAGAGAGGCCUCGCCCCUCCCAGAGUCAGCUCAUUCCUGCAGAUAGCAAACCAUAGGCUUGAGGUCCUCCCUUUGAUAUGCAAACCAACCAACCCUGAGUCUACACUGCAGCCCAACUCAUUUUAUCAAUGUGGAACUUAGUCCCCUGCCCUGAAUCACCCCAGGACCAGUUCCCCACAACUAGGGACCUCCUACAGCCCAGGCCUGCUGAUGGUGUUUAAAAGGUCUUACCCUGACCUGCUUGCCUUUCCCACCAAAACCACAACAAAGGCCCCGCCCACAUUUCCCCUCCCUUCUUCUGCUCCCGACCACCCCUGGCACCUCCCCAUGUGGCCUUGCCUCCUGAUUCAGUGGAUCUGUGAGUGUAAAAACAUCUUCCGACAAGACAGCCGUAUCUGUUUUUCUGUGUCUUUUCAUACCUAAUUAAAACAGAUCCCAGGUAUGUUUUAAAUCGGCGGGGGCGGGGGGGGGGACAGGAAUAGGAAGUGACGGUUUAAUGUGUAUAGGGUUGCCUUUUGGGGUGAUUAAAAAUAUUCUGCAAAAGCU
Non-coding RNA from Sus scrofa (pig), 4538 nucleotides. The record is from RefSeq and is a predicted model, not a curated record. NCBI's taxonomy places the organism in Eukaryota, Metazoa, Chordata, Mammalia, Artiodactyla, Suidae.